Molecule: ribosomal RNA, 253 nt
Filed under: uncultured bacterium
Lineage: Bacteria
Description: partial 16S ribosomal RNA
Rfam family: Bacterial small subunit ribosomal RNA
Source: RNAcentral
UACGUAGGGACCAAGCGUUAUCCGGAAUUAUUGGGCGUAAAGAGCUCGUAGGCGGUUUGUCGCGUCUGCCGUGAAAGUCCGGGGCUCAACUCCGGAUCUGCGGUGGGUACGGGCAGACUAGAGUGAUGUAGGGGAGACUGGAAUUCCUGGUGUAGCGGUGAAAUGCGCAGAUAUCAGGAGGAACACCGAUGGCGAAGGCAGGUCUCUGGGCAUUAACUGACGCUGAGGAGCGAAAGCAUGGGGAGCGAACAGG